CACGGGUGGCUGCAGUGGGGAAUAUUGGACAAUGGGCGAAAGCCUGAUCCAGCCAUGCCGCGUGUGUGAAGAAGGCCUUCGGGUUGUAAAGCACUUUCAGUGGGGAAGAAAGCCUUGGGGCUAAUACCCUCGAGGAAGGACAUCACCCACAGAAGAAGCACCGGCUAACUCCGUGCCAGCAGCCGCGGUAAUACGGAGGGUGCGAGCGUUAAUCGGAAUUACUGGGCGUAAAGCGCGCGUAGGCGGUCUGAUAAGCCGGUUGUGAAAGCCCCGGGCUCAACCUGGGAACGGCAUCCGGAACUGUCAGGCUAGAGUGCAGGAGAGGAAGGUAGAAUUCCCGGUGUAGCGGUGAAAUGCGUAGAGAUCGGGAGGAAUACCAGUGGCGAAGGCGGCCUUCUGGACUGACACUGACGCUGAGGUGCGAAAGCGUGGGUAGCAAACAGGAUUAGAUACCCCAGUAGUC
This 463-nucleotide ribosomal RNA is filed under the name Vreelandella stevensii. RNAcentral describes it as "partial 16S ribosomal RNA". It matches the Rfam family "Bacterial small subunit ribosomal RNA", at positions 340 to 795 of the family's 1533-position model. The record is from RNAcentral. Lineage: Bacteria; Pseudomonadati; Pseudomonadota; Gammaproteobacteria; Oceanospirillales; Halomonadaceae.